GGUCGAGUGGUGUAGUGGUUAUCACGCUUGUCUCACAUCAAAGAUGUUCACAAGAGGUCCCCAGUUCGAGCCUGGGUUCGAUCA
Molecule: non-coding RNA, 84 nt
Organism: Neopestalotiopsis sp. 37M
Lineage: Eukaryota; Fungi; Ascomycota; Sordariomycetes; Amphisphaeriales; Sporocadaceae
Source: the annotation of a GenBank genome assembly